Molecule: long non-coding RNA, 857 nt
Filed under: Callithrix jacchus (white-tufted-ear marmoset)
Lineage: Eukaryota; Metazoa; Chordata; Mammalia; Primates; Cebidae
Description: lncRNA (ENSCJAG00000057318.2)
Source: RNAcentral
UAAAGAUUAGUUAGCUAACAUUUUGUAUUAUGAUAUAUAAAUUUUUCAAUCCUCAAUUUGUGCAUAUAAAUCCAGACUAUAGCAGGAUAUCUGAGAUAUUUUAGGAGCUUAGUAAUAUUUGUUGACUUGUCAUUAGAUAUUUUCACCAUGUUCAACAUGUUAUCUUUACUGGUCAGAGUAGGAGAUACUCUGUCUGUAAUAAUCUGGGAAGUUCGUAUCAAAAAGUCAUAAUAUACAAAAAAAUACAAUAAAUACUUGGGCUUUUCUGUUAUGUAUCCCUGGUCAAAAGUGCUAAGAGAAUUUCUUAGCCUGAUUUUCCCAGAAAGAAGAGCCCAAACAGACUAAUGUGCUCUUAUUUUAUAGGAAAGACAAUUCCAGGGAGUUAAAGUGAAGAAAAACAACAACAAAAUAAUUCAAGUGAAGAGGUGGAGCCCAAAUAGGGCUGUGGUAUUGAGCUGACUCUAGUGUUACACUACGAAAAUGCCUGUAACUGUAUCUCUGGACCAUCCCGGAGAGGAAAGGUUGUGCAUGCUGGGCAUAGGAGCUGAAGAGAGCCCUGUGGUAUCACCAGCAAGGCAGCCCUUGGGCGGGAAGCCAGAGGGGAAGAAAAGGGACUGAAGAUGAAGCAACAUCCAGUUACAUCUGUGUGAAUUUGGUCUGAACACAUGGAAACCUGGAAGAGAGAUGUUAAAAUGGCCUGAAAAACAGGAUAAUUUGUGUUGGAUGCAAAGGUCUUUAUUUCUUUCUGCCAGCAUGAUCUAAAUAUAUCCUAAUACCUCAUGGGCUUAGUCUCUGCACUGCAGAUGUCUUUUUUCUUAUUGAGAUUAUUUCCCUAUUGUAGAUUGCUGGUGAAAUUU